AAGUCGUAACAAGGUUUCCGUAGGUGAACCUGCGGAAGGAUCAUUAACACGUAUCCAACGUUAAACCCCCCGUGAACCUUCAUUUGGUAAAUCAUCGCCGAACAGUUUUGAUUCAGGGACCUCUGCAUGGAGUGGGCAGCAGCGCGAGGCAAGUGGCCUGGCAUUCGAAAGAAUGGCGCAGUAACGAUCGCUAGAGGCCGACACGGCCGGCGACCGGGUCACUGGGCUCACGCCCCCCUAUCACCUUUGCAUGAAAACGGGCCUGCGCUUAAUUGUGCGGCCACCAAACUCGAACAACUGUUAACAAUGGAUAUCUUGGUUCUC
Molecule: unclassified non-coding RNA, 324 nt
Filed under: fungal sp.
Lineage: Eukaryota; Fungi
Description: partial internal transcribed spacer region
Rfam family: Eukaryotic small subunit ribosomal RNA (bases 1-46)
Source: RNAcentral